UGUUUUUUAAUACUGGCCUCUGCCCUAUGUUUUUUAAAUGGCAGUCUUAGCGUGAGGACAUUAAGGUAGCAAAAUAAUUUGUGCUUUUAAUGGGUUCUAGUAUGAAUGAGGUUUUUGGUUAAUUAUUUAUUUGAUUUUUUAUGAAUUAAUAUUUUAUUUAAGAAUUAAUAGUUAUGGUUAAACAAAGAUAAGUCUUCGAAAAUUUUUUUAUUAAAGUAGCUUUUGUUAUUUUAAUAUUUUUUCUAGGGUAGUGUGAUUAUAUAAUUUUUGUUACUAUUGAUAUUUUAAAAAAUUACUUCGGAGUUAACAGAAAAUCAUACCUUGCUAGUUUCUUAUAGUAUUGGGUAAGUUUUACAUCGAUGUUGUAUCCCAGUUGUGUCAGAGAGGAGUAGGCUGAAUUUUUUAGACUGUUCUUCUGUAAAUAAACUGGACGUGAUAUUAGUUUAAUUCAUCC
This 454-nucleotide ribosomal RNA is filed under the name Contracaecum osculatum. RNAcentral describes it as "large subunit ribosomal RNA". The record is from RNAcentral. Lineage: Eukaryota; Metazoa; Nematoda; Chromadorea; Rhabditida; Anisakidae.